This 254-nucleotide ribosomal RNA is filed under the name uncultured bacterium. RNAcentral describes it as "partial 16S ribosomal RNA". It matches the Rfam family "Bacterial small subunit ribosomal RNA", at positions 524 to 776 of the family's 1533-position model. The record is from RNAcentral.
UACGUAGGGUGCGAGCGUUGUCCGGAAUUACUGGGCGUAAAGAGUUCGCAGGUGGUUUGUCGCGUCGUCUGUGAAAGUCCGGGGCUUAACUCCGGGAGUGCAAGUGAUACUGGCAUAACUUGAGUACUGUAGGGGAGACUGGAAUUCCUGGUGUAGCGGUGAAAUGCGUAGAUAUCAGGAGGAACACCGGUGGCGAAGGCGGGUCUCUGGGCAGUAACUGACGCUGAGGAGCGAAAGCAUGGGGAGCGAACAGG